This 1158-nucleotide long non-coding RNA is filed under the name Apis mellifera (honey bee). RNAcentral's name for it is "uncharacterized LOC102656050, transcript variant X1". The record is from RNAcentral. Lineage: Eukaryota; Metazoa; Arthropoda; Insecta; Hymenoptera; Apidae.
AACGUGAAAAAUCAGCUUCAGUUUCCCUUUGUUUCCUUUAUUUUAAUUUAUCGAUUGGGAUCGUGAAAAUGGAAGAAGAGGAACGUAUUUUUAGAAAUUAUAUUUUCGUUGACACGAAUCGUGUCGAGCGUUUUUUCACUCUUGCGGAUAAUCAAUCCAUCAACUUACGCAAUCUUCAAACUUAGCGGAAAUAUGAUCGACGACUCUUCGCUAACUUUCUAAAAGCUUUCACUUCAAGAGGAAAACGGUCAUAUUAUCAGAAAUAAACGAGGCUCGCGUAAAAGUAAUAGUCAAUUAUCGUUAAUUACUGACCGUCCUGAAUCUGCAAACCAAGACUCUGCGGAGACCCGUCGCCGUCCAUGACGGAAACCAAAGACGCGCCGCAGCAUCGUGGCAUUUUCUCAUCGAAACGUCACAGUCCGCAAAUCUUUAACCAUCCUCCUGUAUAGAAAUUGCAUUGAGUUGAGAAACCAACCAACCAACCAACCCUGAGCAAACAAAGAUCUUUCGUGCGAAAUGGGAAAGAAAAGAGAUUGUCGUCGUGAUUUCAUUCGCUCGUUUCAAUCGUGGAUUUGUAUUUCGUCAAUUCUACGUAUACAAAAGAAAUCAUAAAGAUUUAGCCAUCCAUUGGUUAAAAAAAUAAAGAAGAAAAUAGUAAAAAUGGGAAACGUGAUCGCGAUAGAUGAGAAGCAGGGUGAAACGUUGAUCCCACGCUGGACUAGAAGGUACUGCACCAAACACGCGGACCGAUAUAGCCCUCGGACAGGUAGAUCAAUAUAGUAGCUACGGCAUGCCUAACACGCAGGAUCUCUUGCCAGUGAACGCGUGAUUCUCAGCCCGCGGUGAUUGAGGGUGAAGCUGGCCGAAUUUCAUCUUAAAUUGAAGAUAACAAGAGCUAACUUGAUUUGAAACAAGGAAUACUUUCGAAUAAAAACUUUAUUUAGAACUUUUGAAAGAAAACUCAUUUCAAAUGAUUCAUUUGGAUUGCUUUUUUGGAAAAUUUUAGAAAGAUACAGAGAAACUAUUAUCAAAUAUGUAGAUUUUUUAUUUCUGCAAUUAUUACAUGGCAAGUAUUUUUAUUAAAAUAGAAAUUAUAUAUCUAAUUAUGUAUCUAUUUACUUUCAGUGUAAUUUAAUUGUUAUCAUUUAUGUAGGAUUU